AGAACGAACGCUGGCGGCAGGCUUAACACAUGCAAGUCGAGCGCCCCGCAAGGGGAGCGGCAGACGGGUGAGUAACGCGUGGGAACAUACCCUCCGGUUCGGAAUAGCUCAGGGAAACUUGGAUUAAUACCGGAUACGGCCUAGCGGCGAAAGAUUCAUCGCCGGAGGAUUGGCCCGCGUCUGAUUAGCUAGUUGGUGGGGUAAUGGCCCACCAAGGCGACGAUCAGUAGCUGGUCUGAGAGGAUGAUCAGCCACAUUGGGACUGAGACACGGCCCAAACUCCUACGGGAGGCAGCAGUGGGAAUAUUGACAAUGGGCGCAAGCCUGAUCCAGCCAUGCCGCGUGAGUGAUGACGGCCUUAGGGUUGUAAAGCUCUUUCGCUAGGGACGAUAAUGACGGUACCUAGACAAGAACGCCCGGCUAACUUCGUGCCAGCAGCCGC
RNAcentral lists this ribosomal RNA (442 nucleotides) under uncultured bacterium. Its description in RNAcentral is "SSU rRNA". It matches the Rfam family "Bacterial small subunit ribosomal RNA", at positions 26 to 518 of the family's 1533-position model. The record is from RNAcentral.